Molecule: microRNA precursor, 55 nt
Filed under: Parasteatoda tepidariorum (common house spider)
Lineage: Eukaryota; Metazoa; Arthropoda; Arachnida; Araneae; Theridiidae
Description: microRNA pte-mir-11940 precursor
Source: miRBase by way of RNAcentral
UCCGUCACUGUUACUACUGCUAACCUAACGUUAUUAGAAAGUAAUAGUGGCAAGU